AUGGCUGCCUCCGUGACGAGCUCCGCAUAUGUUUUUGUGUUUUUGUUAGUCUGUCCUGUCUUUAGUUAUAUUCCUGCCAUCAGUUUCACCAGGGAAGAACUGCUGAACAUUCGGCAGAACGCACCACAAGAUGUUUUUCCGGAUUUCAAUUAUUCAGAUGUUUUACUGAACGUUGUUAUCGGAGGAGCAGCGGCGCUGAUCAAGCGCUUCAGGACGCGCAGACGGGGGAAGCGAGUGGGAGCGCUCGUCAGACUCAGGAAGCGCGGAUUUCGAACGCCGUUGCCUAGCAUCCAUCUGGCAAAUCUCCACUCUCUACCCAACAAAACGGACGAACUCCUUCUGCUUUCUCGGACAAAUAAGGAUUUCACACACUCUGCUGCUCUGUGUUUCACGGAAACCUGGCUGAAUGACACCAUACCGGACAGCGCGCUCCAUCUGCCGGGCUUUCAGCUGUUUAGAGCGGACCGCGAAUCAGAAUCGACUGGGAAAUCGCGCGGUGGCGGGACAUGCUUUUACAUCAAUGAACGGUGGUGUACAGAUGUAACUGUGUUAAAGAAGACGUGCUGCUCAAAUCUCGAAACACUCUUCAUUAACUGCAAGCCGUUCUAUUCGCCGCGGGAGUUUCACUCGCUCAUUCUGGUCAGUGUUUACAUCCAUCCUCAAGCGCAUGUGAGCUCAGCUUUACAGAAACUCGCUGAUCAGAUCACAGACACAGAACAACAACACCCGGACUCUGUUUUAAUCAUUCUCGGGGACUUUAAUAAAGCCAAUCUGUCCCGUGAACUGCCAAAAUACAGACAGCAUGUUACAUGUCCCACAAGAGACAGUAAUAUAUUGGAUCACUGUUACACCACAAUAAAGGAUGCAUUUCACUCUGUUCCACGAGCAGCUUUGGGACGUUCUGAUCACCUUCUGGUUCAUCUUAUACCGUCCUACAGGCAGAAACUAAAAUCAGCUAAACCUGUAUCAAGGACUGUAAAAAGAUGGACUAAUGAAGCAGAGCAGGAUUUACAAUCUUGUUUUGACCUCACUGAUUGGAGUGUUUUUGAAGCUGCUGCCACCGAUCUGGAUGAACUCACAGAGACUGUAACAUCAUAUAUCAGUUUCUGUGAGGAUAUGUGUAUUCCUACAAAGACUCAACUAAUUUACAAUAAUGACAAACCGUGGUUCAUUGCAAAACUCAGACAGCUCCGUCAGGCCAAAGAAGAUGCUUACGUGAAGGGGGACAAUGUCUUGUAUAAACAGGCUAAAUACACAUUGGAAAAGGAGAUCAAAGUGGCAAAGAGGAAUUAUUCUGAAAAAAUAAGGACUCAGUUCACUUCCAACGACUCCGCAUCAGUGUGGAAAAGUCUAAAGAAGAUCACCAAUUACAAGACACCAUCCCCCAGCACUGUAGAGAAUCAACGACUGGCAGACGAUCUGAACGAGUUUUACUGCAGGUUUGAAAGAACACCCAUCACCUGCCCUGAACGCCUCCCCACAAAACCAUUCACACCCUUCACAACUCCUGCAACCAGCCCUGAAUGCCUCUCCAAACUACCGUUCACACCAUUAACAGCUCCUGCAACCCAUCCUGAACACCUCUCCAAUCAAGCACUCUCACCAUUCUCACCUCCUGCAUCCCCCCUCUCCCCCACACCUGCAAUUCAGAUCAGCGAGGAUGCGGUGCGCCAGGUCUUCCGGAAGCAGAAAAGGAAAAAAGCACCAGGCCCAGAUUGUGUUACAAUCUGGCUGUCUGAAAUCCUGUGCUGA
This is a long non-coding RNA of Carassius auratus (goldfish), 1752 nucleotides long. Lineage: Eukaryota; Metazoa; Chordata; Actinopteri; Cypriniformes; Cyprinidae. The record is from Ensembl.